GUAACAUGUUAAGAACAACUUACUUUGAAACUCAAAGACAAAAAUAUUUUGAAAAACCUUCUCAUGGGAAUAUGGAAUGUUAAUAUCCUUUACUUGUCUUGUGACAAUCUUAAGGUCGGUCCCAUCUUUUUGACAAAAGUUAACAACUGAAAAUUAUUUAGUUAUGAUAUAGCUAACUCGGUUUUAAUUUCAGGUGUUUAAUGACUGUAGUGAAACAAUAUAUGUAUUCAACAACCUGAUGUUGUUAACUAUUGUAUCGUGUGUAGAGUGGAAAUCUACCAUAUCUAUUCAAGAAUUAUCCAAUCUAGAAACUCUCGUCUUUAAAGUAGCAUACACAUUAUUCAGAUUAACAAUUGAUAUGCUUUUACACAUAAAUAAAUUUUGAAAUAGUCUAUUUUUCUGCAUAACGAAUAUACGUACUAAACAAUGUGCAACGAGGAUAGGUGUUUAUGCAAACGUGAGGGGAGGGGGGGGGAAGGAAAUACUGUUUGGUGAAAUUUCUUAUGAUGAUGAAGACAUAGAGAAGCAGGUGAAACACUUUCUAAAGACAAAGUCGAAUCUUGAACAAAGGAUAUUGUGCUAUGAUACACCAACUGAUAAGAUGUUACUAUUAGAAGUUACUUUUAUUCGCUUAUGAAUUUUAAAUUCAUUCUUAAACUCAUGAAAAGCCUUUUUUAGUCUGGAUGACACAAGUGUUUUUAGGAGAAACAAACGUUUUGUAAAACUUCAAACGUGGAAAAUGAAAGAAAUGUGGAAAAUCAUCUCAUUUUCAGAUUAAAUGACAAAAGCUUUCAUGUAU
RNAcentral lists this small RNA (799 nucleotides) under Arabidopsis thaliana (thale cress). RNAcentral describes it as "ATSL194890". Lineage: Eukaryota; Viridiplantae; Streptophyta; Magnoliopsida; Brassicales; Brassicaceae. The record is from RNAcentral.